Molecule: transfer RNA, 64 nt
Filed under: Teredo bartschi
Lineage: Eukaryota; Metazoa; Mollusca; Bivalvia; Myida; Teredinidae
Description: tRNA-Val
Source: RNAcentral
AAAAAGGUAGCAUAAUUUAGUGCGUCUUGUUUACACCAAGACUGUGGUAUCUUACCCCUUUUUU